RNAcentral lists this ribosomal RNA (253 nucleotides) under uncultured bacterium. Its description in RNAcentral is "partial 16S ribosomal RNA". It matches the Rfam family "Bacterial small subunit ribosomal RNA", at positions 524 to 776 of the family's 1533-position model. The record is from RNAcentral.
UACGUAGGGCGCGAGCGUUGUCCGGAUUUAUUGGGCGUAAAGAGCUCGUAGGCGGCUUGUCGCGUCGACCGUGAAAGCUUGGGGCUUAACCCCAAGUCUGCGGUGGAUACGGGCAGACUAGAGGCAGGUAGGGGAGAACGGAAUUCCCGGUGUAGCGGUGAAAUGCGCAGAUAUCGGGAGGAACACCGGUGGCGAAGGCGGUUCUCUGGGCCUGUACUGACGCUGAGGAGCGAAAGCAUGAGGAGCGAACAGG